GCGUGAAAAUCAGCUCCGUCAACGUCAGCAAAACUUUUUUGAUCUGACGUCAUCGUCGCCGGCCACGUCAUCAUUUGUGACGACACAAGUAGUUGUUCCACGUCUUACACAUCUCGAGGAACGGCUCAUCGAGUUGGGUGUCGAGCACGAAGUUGUGCAGCAUACGCAGAGAUUACAGUCGGAAUUUGAGAAUUAUCAUCAUCUCCAGCAGCAACAUAAUCAUCAGAAUUUCCAACAACAACAACAGGGAAAUCACGAUUUUGUGACCCCGAAA
RNAcentral lists this small RNA (274 nucleotides) under Caenorhabditis elegans. RNAcentral describes it as "Unclassified non-coding RNA F53A3.9". The record is from RNAcentral. Lineage: Eukaryota; Metazoa; Nematoda; Chromadorea; Rhabditida; Rhabditidae.